RNAcentral lists this ribosomal RNA (468 nucleotides) under uncultured bacterium. Its description in RNAcentral is "partial 16S ribosomal RNA". It matches the Rfam family "Bacterial small subunit ribosomal RNA", at positions 28 to 507 of the family's 1533-position model. The record is from RNAcentral.
GACGAACGCUGGCGGCGUGCUUAACACAUGCAAGUCGAACGGAAAGGCCCUGCUUUUGUGGGGUGCUCGAGUGGCGAACGGGUGAGUAACACGUGAGUAACCUGCCCUUGACUUUGGGAUAACUUCAGGAAACUGGGGCUAAUACCGGAUAGGAGCUCCUGCUGCAUGGUGGGGGUUGGAAAGUUUCGGCGGUUGGGGAUGGACUCGCGGCUUAUCAGCUUGUUGGUGGGGUAGUGGCUUACCAAGGCUUUGACGGGUAGCCGGCCUGAGAGGGUGACCGGGCACAUUGGGACUGAGGUACGGACCAGACUCCUACGGGAGGCAGCAGUGGGGAAUAUUGCACAAUGGGCGGAAGCCUGAUGCAGCAACGCCGCGUGCGGGAUGACGGCCUUCGGGUUGUAAACCGCUUUCGCCUGUGACGAAGCGUGAGUGACGGUACUGGGUAAAGAAGCACCGGCUAACUACGUG